CUGUAGCAUCCCCGAAUCCGGGUCCCAAAUCGCCGCGGAUCCGGUAUACUAAUUCUAUCACUAUUGCGGAAGAUAUAAACAUACAUUGUUUAUACAUUAAACUUUACACAUCAGUCCCAAGGUCCACAACCUUAACUUAAUACAUACCUUCAAUAUUAAAAAUGUUUACAAUACUAUUUUCGUUAGAAAAUUUAAUAAAUCUAACUGCAACAUAAAAAAAAAACUUUGCACUUUGUCUUUGCCUCUGUCCUUAUUCAAGCUUUCAUCUUAAUUUGAAAAUUUUAUCAUGAUAUAGCAAGGGUGAGCAACAAAUUUGCCCAGCAAGUUUUACAUACAAUGGAGAUAUAUCAUGAUUGAAAAGAAUGAAUAAGCUUUCAAGUUUUCAACAAUAUAAUAAUUGUGAAAUAACAUGAAUCAAGUUUCAAUGAUUGAAUGACUGAACCAAUGAUAUUGGAUGUCAACAAUUAACAUGAACAAGUUUAACUGAAACCUAUGGUAAUGAAGGUGAUCAGCCUUUCAUACCUGAUGAACAUANNNNNNN
Molecule: long non-coding RNA, 541 nt
Filed under: Panax ginseng (ginseng)
Lineage: Eukaryota; Viridiplantae; Streptophyta; Magnoliopsida; Apiales; Araliaceae
Description: long non-coding RNA (PGIN_LNC004336)
Source: RNAcentral